Molecule: transfer-messenger RNA, 397 nt
Filed under: Bacilli
Lineage: Bacteria; Bacillati; Bacillota
Also listed under: 1 other name
Description: Enterosoma sp900539865 Standard tmRNA
Rfam family: transfer-messenger RNA
About the family: Bacterial tmRNA, also known as 10Sa RNA or SsrA, is named for its dual tRNA and mRNA-like properties. Its role is to liberate the mRNA from a stalled ribosome.
Source: RNAcentral
GGGGAUGUUCCGGUUUCGACAGGCGGGAACGACUUUUAAGGGCAGUGGUUUGGUCUCCUUAUCGACCGACACAAUUACAAGUGCCAAAAAACCUGUUAUGUUCCGUGCUCCGGCCAUGAUGGCCUGCGCUGCCUAAUUUAAUUAGGUUCAGCAUUUUUCUCAGAUCUUAGUAUCUGACGCACGACCCUCAUAUCAUCUCGCUGUUUCAUGAUAUGGGGAGUUUAGAGACAGACUCAUGUUGUAAGCUUCCUUUCCUUACGCAUGCGACAUCAGGAAGGAUCGGAUGAGAGUGGUUUGCUAUUGUGCCACCUUGUCUUAAUAUCAAACAAUAGAUAAACUGUAGUCCUUAUUAGAGAUUCCUGUUUGGACGCGGGUUCGACUCCCGUCAUCUCCACCA